AGAGUUUGAUCCUGGCUCAGAACGAACGCUAACGAUACCCAUUAUACAUGCAAGUCGAGCGGAGAUGAAAUUAGUUUACUAAUGGAUUCUUAGCGGCGAACGGGUGAGUAAUGUAUAGGAACAUACCUUUUAGUGGGGGAUAGGUACGGGAAACUGUAUGUAAUACCGCAUAAUCCAGAAAUGGUAAAGGCGUAAAAGUCGCUAAAAGAUUGGCCUAUAUCGGAUUGGUAGUUGGUGAGGUAAUGGCUCACCAAGCUUUAAUCUGUAGUUGGUCUGAGAGGAUGAUCAGCCACACUGGGACUGAGAUACGGCCCAGACUUUUAAGGAAGGCAGCAGUAGGGAAUGUUGGACAAUGGGGGAAACCCUGAUCCAUGGAUAUCGUGUGAGUGAAGAAGGUCUUCGGAUUGUAAAGCUCUUUCAGCAGGGAAGAUAAUGACGUUACCUGCAAAAGAAGCACCGGCUAACUCUGUGCCAGCAGCCGCGGUAAUACAGAGGGUGCUAGCGUUGUUCGGAAUUACUGGGCGUAAAGCGUAUGUAGACGGCUUUUUAAGUCUAUUGUGAAAUCCUGCAGCUCAACUGUAGAACUGCAAUAGAUACUAAAGAACUAGAGUAUGGGAGAGGUAAAUGGAAUUACUAGUGUAGAGGUUAAAUUCAAAGAUAUUAGUAGGAACACCAAAGGUGAAGACAGUUUACUGGAACAUUACUGACGUUGAGAUACUAAAGCGUGGGGAGCAAACAGGAUUAGAUACCCUGGUAGUCCACGCCCUAAACGAUGAAGACUAGAUUUUGGAAAAUUUUCAGAGUCGCAAGCUAACGCAAUAAGUCUUCCGCCUGGAGAGUAGUAUCGCAAGAGCGAAACUUAAAGGAACUGACGGGGACCUGCACAAGCGGUGGAGCAUUUGGUUUAAUUUGAUGUACGCAAAAAACCUUACCAGCUCUUGACAUGUUAGUCGUAAGUCUAGGUAACUAGGCUGUCAUAGAAUUUUCUGAUGGACUAACACAGGUGUUGCAUGGCCGUCUUCAGCUCGUGUCGUGAGAUGUUGGGUUAAGUCCUAUAACGAGCGCAACCCUUUUUCUUAGUUGCUAACAGGUAAUGCUGAGUUCUUUAAGAAGACUGACCGUGAUAAACGGUAGGAAGGAAAGGAUGAUGGCUGGUCCUCAUGGCCCUUAUGAGCUGGGCUACACAUGUGCUACAAUGGAUAGAACAAAGAGUUUGCGGGUAGGUGACUACCAUAUUAAGCAACGCAAGUUGUGAAAGCUAAUCUAUAAAUCUAUCCCUAAUUCGGAUUGAUCCCUGCAACUCGGGAUCAUGAAGUCGAAAUCGCUAGUAAUCGUGGAUCAGAACGCCACGGUGAAUAUGUUCUCGGGUCUUGUACACACCGCCCGUCGCGCUAUGGAAGUUGCUACUUUUUGAAAGCGGAACUCUAACCUGUAAAGGAAGAUACUGUCUAGAUAAGUGGUGAUGACUGGAGUAAAGUCGUAACAAGGUA
This 1490-nucleotide ribosomal RNA is filed under the name metagenome. RNAcentral's name for it is "bacterial SSU rRNA". It matches the Rfam family "Bacterial small subunit ribosomal RNA". The record is from RNAcentral.